Molecule: transfer RNA, 85 nt
Filed under: Agaricicola taiwanensis
Lineage: Bacteria; Pseudomonadati; Pseudomonadota; Alphaproteobacteria; Rhodobacterales; Paracoccaceae
Description: tRNA-Leu
Rfam family: tRNA
About the family: Transfer RNA (tRNA) molecules are approximately 80 nucleotides in length.
Source: RNAcentral
GCCCCCUUGGCGAAAUUGGUAUACGCACGGCACUUAAAAUGCCGGGCCGCAAGGCAUGCCGGUUCAAGUCCGGCAGGGGGCACCA